GAGAGCCUAAAUCAAGGCCACUGUUUUGUGACAGCAGCUGAUUUCAAACAGGAGCCCAAAUCGAAGUCUCUUUUGGGUCUUCUGUCCUUUUCAGAACUUUGAGAAUGUAAUGAUCAAUUCAUUAAAAAGAAAUACAA
This is a small nucleolar RNA of Cavia porcellus (domestic guinea pig), 137 nucleotides long. The record is from RefSeq and is a predicted model, not a curated record. Lineage: Eukaryota; Metazoa; Chordata; Mammalia; Rodentia; Caviidae.